GAUGAACGCUGGCGGCGUGCCUCAAACAUGCAAGUCGAGCGGGGCUAUGUAAUAUCGCAAGGUAGAACAUAGCCUAGCGGCGAACGGGUGAGUAACACGUGGGUAACCUGCCUGGAAGACAGGGAUAACGAUUCGAAAGGGUCGCUAAUACCUGAUAAUAUCCUUUCAUCGCAUGGUGAUAGGAAGAAAGGGGAAACCCGCUUUCAGAUGGGCCCGCGUCCCAUCAGCUAGUUGGUAAGGUAAAGGCUUACCAAGGCGACGACGGGUAGCCGGUCUGAGAGGAUGUACGGCCACACUGGGACUGAGAUACGGCCCAGACUCCUACGGGAGGCAGCAGUUGGGAAUCUUAGGCAAUGGACGAAAGUCUGACCUAGCGACGCCGCGUGAGGGAAGAAGGCCUUCGGUUGUAAACCUCUGUCAUGGGGAAGAAGUAAGUGACGGUACCCAAGAGGAAGCCCCUGCUAACUACGUGCCAGCAGCCGCGUAAGAGUACUCUAU
This 498-nucleotide ribosomal RNA is filed under the name uncultured bacterium. RNAcentral describes it as "bacterial SSU rRNA". It matches the Rfam family "Bacterial small subunit ribosomal RNA", at positions 28 to 530 of the family's 1533-position model. The record is from RNAcentral.